UACGUAGGGGGCAAGCGUUGUCCGGAUUUAUUGGGCGUAAAGAGCGUGUAGGCGGUUAGGUAGGUCCGUUGUGAAAACUCGAGGCUCAACCUCGAGACGCCGAUGGAAACCAUCUGACUAGAGUCCGGAAGAGGAGAGUGGAAUUCCGUGGUGUAGCGGUGAAAUGCGCAGAUAUCAGGAAGAACACCCGUGGCUAAGGCGGCUCUCUAGUACGUGACUGACGCUGAGACGCGAAAGCGU
This 240-nucleotide ribosomal RNA is filed under the name uncultured bacterium. RNAcentral's name for it is "partial 16S ribosomal RNA". It matches the Rfam family "Bacterial small subunit ribosomal RNA", at positions 524 to 762 of the family's 1533-position model. The record is from RNAcentral.